UACGUAGGUGGCGAGCGUUGUCCGGAUUUACUGGGCGUAAAGGGAGCGUAGGCGGACUUUUAAGUGAGAUGUGAAAUACUCGGGCUCAACUUGAGUGCUGCAUUUCAAACUGGAAGUCUAGAGUGCAGGAGAGGAGAAUGGAAUUCCUAGUGUAGCGGUGAAAUGCGUAGAGAUUAGGAAGAACACAAGUGGCGAAGGCGAUUCUCUGGACUGUAACUGACGCUGAGGCUCGAAAGCGUGGGGAGCAAACAGG
Molecule: ribosomal RNA, 253 nt
Filed under: uncultured bacterium
Lineage: Bacteria
Description: partial 16S ribosomal RNA
Rfam family: Bacterial small subunit ribosomal RNA
Source: RNAcentral